GAUGCCAGAGCAGGCCUGGCCCGUGUCAUCUGGCAGCGGCAGGCAGGGGCCCCUGGUGCCGCCUGAUCCAGGACAGAUUCCUUAGCUUUCGGGGCCUGGCCUCGGUGCCCUUUCCAGCCCGUCCCAGCUCCAUGUUGGUGUCCUGCCCCAAACACCACUGUUGGGCCAAGUUGCUUUGGGGAACAGGGCAGCAUAUUGUCACCAAUCUGACUGGGGAAGCGGCCAGAAGUCUGGCAAAUCCGGGCUGCCAGGGCGACCUGAUUAGGAGAGAUGGACAGCCCCAGCCGUGCCCUCAUGCAGGCCUGGCUCUCUGCUGCUUCCAGCUCUCUGCUCCAUGGACGCGGUCCGAGCGCCAGCAGCAGGGUAAUGGGGACGUGGGCGGACGCUGGCGGGGAAGCGCUCGGCCGCAAAGGUCAGGCCUGCCCCUGCCUUGCCUUCCUCAUUAGGCCCAAAGGUGUAAAUCUGCAGAGAGAUCAGAAAUCAUGAGAAACUUUGCCAAACGCUCUUCUAACAUCCAAAUGCGCAGAGUCCGUGGACACAGCCGUCUCAAGCCACGGGAGGAAGCCGCUUGGCACCUCGCGUUCUCACUGUCGCACCCGCUGUCCCUGGGCAGGACUUUUACAGACACUAAACCAGAAAUAAAACCAAAGCGAGAGAACAGCAGAAACAAAACAAACCACAAAAUCUGCGGCGUGGCUCCAAGAACUGCUCCUGGCUCUGCCUGGUUGAGAGGAUCCCCGGCUGUGGGGCUCCAGCCUGCAGCUGUUCCCCUUAGGGCAACAGCCCCUCCAGUCCGACACACAGCCAGCGCUGGUCCGAAUCUGCCUUAGGCUUUCCAAGGUGACGCCUUCUCAGCCCGGUUCCCACCGCAGCCUGGGCAGCUGGGCUGGUGGAGCCCCGGGGACUUGGGCUUUAUCCAACUUUGGACACCAACUUCAUGCCUGCCUCCUACGCAUGGCAGGCCCAGGCCCUUUCCUGGGCAGGCCUCCUGACGCUGGGGCCUGGGGCUGGGAGCCUGUGGUCCCCAGCGCCCAGCCCAGUGACGCUCUGGCACUCUGUCCUGGGGCGAGCCAGCCUCCAGACACCAACCACCCCACCGGCCAAGUGCAGCCCUCACUUCGCCCGCUCCGGAUGCCACCCUGUCUCAAGGGCUGAGCCUUGCUCUGUGGCCUGCCACCGUCUCCAUCUUAGCAAGAACCUCCCCAUCUGGUCUGCCCACCCAGUGUCCCAGAAGGCUGGGGGAGGGCUCUCUGCCCCUCAGCCCUGGCAGAGGGUGUAGGACCAGGUGUGGUCUGCUGCUGGGUCUAAUCCAGCCAUCCUCAUGUCCUCUCCAGCUGGGAAGGUCUCAGCCAGGUAACCUCAGCAAGACCUGGUGGACAGGGAUGCCUGGGUCACCCCCUUUUCCUCCCUCCUGCCUCCCUGAAACAUCUCAUGAGUGAUCCCCACAUGCUUUGCCCAAUAAUGCACGGAGAGAAAGACACAGAGAGAGGCAGACAUACAGAGACCACCAGCCUGGGGCAGAUGCGCUCCCUUCUGUGAUCGGCAGCGACCUGCCCACCAGGUCUGACCCACCUCCCAGCCCUCAGGUCAGGAAAGGCUGCACUUCAGUCAAAACUUUGAAACCCAUUGCAUUGUUGUAAGUGUCCCACAUCCUUAAGCCCAGGGCCCCAGCAUGGGAUGCAGCUGCCCACAGGACGGGGACCCAGGGUGCACAGCAGCCCCAGGCCCUCCUAAAGCAUCGCGCAGGACGGAGGCCCGCCUUUUCUCCUGUAACGCAGCCUCUCCGAGGGAAUGGGAGGGGAGUGGUACUUUCUCCAGGCAGAACUCUGUUGUACACAUUUUCUCUGUGGGCAGAAAUAGAGCAAUUUUUUUUUUCUUUUAGAAAAAUCGAAUGUGGCUUUCAAAUGUCAAAAUCUCAGACUGAGGACAAACUACCUUUUAAAUAUCACAUUUUCUAAAAUGUAUAUGCAUUUUAUUCUGCCUUUGUCAUCUUCCUCCUGCGUCCUAACAGGGAGAGGCACCAAAGGGGGUGUAUUUUCUGCACAAGGACAAUGACAAGUUUUCAAAGGAGGGCGUUUGGGAUGAACUAAAGGGAAGUAUUCCCAUCACUGGCAAAGACAUGCCCUGGCAGGAUCUCCGCCCUGGGCAUGGGGCCGAGAAACUGCCCGCCUGGUCCCUGCAGGAGCUUGGCACCCGCUCUCUGGGCGCGGGAGCACCCUGUGACCGCGGGCAGGAGAGCUCUGCGGGGGCCUGACGGAACCUGCCGCCGCGUGGGCCUGGUGGAGGGCCCGGGCCUCAGCACCUGCACUCCUGCGUCUGAGCCUGUGCUCCGCGCCCAGAACGCCCCCAGCUGAAGACUUCCUUUCUUCCUGCAUCCAUGUCUCUGAGGACAGGUGGGACAACACUGAUGACAUCCUUUACUGCUGGUGACCAGGGGGCUGAGGCGCGGCUCAAGGCGGGGGCCCUGCUACCCGCCACUGUCAGCUCUCUGAAUGUGUGGUGAGUGGCUCUGCUCCGGCAACAGGGGAACCUGUAGACCUGGCCAAGCAGUGAGGGCUGCCUGCAGCAGAGGAGACGAAGGAGGUCAAUCAUGCCCAGGAGCCAGGGACCUGGCCUGGCCUGGCCUGCGCAUAGCGAGCAGUCCGUGAGCCCCCUCUGCGCGCCAGGCUGACACCACCCCCAAGUGUUCCAGGCAACCAACGGGUAAUCCAACCCAGAGCGCCACGCGGGAAGGGGAUUGCGGGGCUGUGGAGCAGGUGUGUUAACGUCCUGGGACUGCACAAGGUCAUUCCCUCGCAGCCCCCCGGAGGCCGAGGUCUGAGAAGAACAGCGGCAGACCGGCACCCUCCUGAGGCUGAGGGAGAAUCCAUCCCAAGCCAGUCUCAUGGGUCUGCUGGCUCCUGGCGACACCUGCCAUUCACUGAAGCACAGACCCACCCCGCCCGGCCCCUGCCCCCGUCUUCCCCAGCCUCCUCCCUGGGUCCCCUCUCUUAUAAAUGGCUUGUCAUUGCAGUUAGGGCCCACCCGAAUCGGAGAUGAUCUCAUUUCAACAUCCUUAACUUAGUCACAUCGGCAAAGACUGUAUUUCCAAACAAGGUCCCAUGACGGGCACUGGGGUUGAGGAUGUGGGCAUACAUUUUUAAGGUCUUGAGGGGCAGGGAGGGCCACCAACUCAACCUGCUGAAAGGACUGAGACCUAACUCCACCCCAGGGAGAGGAGAGACCCCCCAGAGACAGCUCUGAGCCUCAGUUUUGUGAACUGAAAGAAGAGAGUAAUAAUAAUAAAAUAAUAAUAAUAUAUCUUGCCUAGGUUUCUUGCAGGAAGGAUUCAGAAGAGUGGAGAGUAUGUAUGCAAGGACUGGUAUAGUUGUUAAUAAUAUUAUCUCCUGGGCUGCAUCCCACACUUAGUGGUAAUUCUCAUUAUAUUGCAAAACCUUGAUGCCUGUGACAGUCAAAUUUAAAAUUCAUACAGCAUGUUCUGGAAGGCGCAUGUAGGCAAAGGAGAACAUCAUUUGUAGACAUUCCAAAACAAAAAAUCUUGGAGCUGCUUAUGAGACUGCUGAGAGGAAGCCCAUGGGCCCCAUUUCCUGGGAACCCAGAAUCCUGCCAGGUGGUUAAUCUGCUUUGGCAGAAAGGCUUCUGGGAACUGCUAACUGUGGUGGCUAGAAUGGACAGCCAGGCGGGGCCAGACUCCCGGGGGCCAGCGGGAGGGAGGUGCUGAGGACCACAGGACGGAGGAGGCACUGUCGGGGCCUCAGAUCUCCCAGGAAGCCACCUCCCUGGGCUCCCCGGCUCUGAAUCCACA
Molecule: non-coding RNA, 3805 nt
Organism: Manis javanica (Malayan pangolin)
Lineage: Eukaryota; Metazoa; Chordata; Mammalia; Pholidota; Manidae
Source: RefSeq, a predicted model, not a curated record